Molecule: non-coding RNA, 28 nt
Filed under: Rattus norvegicus (Norway rat)
Lineage: Eukaryota; Metazoa; Chordata; Mammalia; Rodentia; Muridae
Source: RNAcentral
UGAACCAAGGAAAGGCUGGGAAUGCUGC